RNAcentral lists this ribosomal RNA (402 nucleotides) under uncultured Sphingomonas sp. RNAcentral describes it as "bacterial SSU rRNA". It matches the Rfam family "Bacterial small subunit ribosomal RNA", at positions 355 to 774 of the family's 1533-position model. Lineage: Bacteria; Pseudomonadati; Pseudomonadota; Alphaproteobacteria; Sphingomonadales; Sphingomonadaceae. The record is from RNAcentral.
UGUGGAAUAUUGGACAAUGGGCGAAAGCCUGAUCCAGCAAUGCCGCGUGAGUGAUGAAGGCCUUAGGGUUGUAAAGCUCUUUUACCCGGGAUGAUAAUGACAGUACCGGGAGAAUAAGCCCCGGCUAACUCCGUGCCAGCAGCCGCGGUAAUACGGAGGGGGCUAGCGUUGUUCGGAAUUACUGGGCGUAAAGCGCACGUAGGCGGCUUUGUAAGUUAGAGGUGAAAGCCCGGGGCUCAACUCCGGAAUUGCCUUUAAGACUGCAUCGCUAGAAUUGUGGAGAGGUAAGUGGAAUUCCGAGUGUAGAGGUGAAAUUCGUAGAUAUUCGGAAGAACACCAGUGGCGAAGGCGACUUACUGGACACAUAUUGACGCUGAGGUGCGAAAGCGUGGGGAGCAAACA